AGACCAUGGUGAGGGUACUUGUUCAAAAGUCCCUUGAAUUGGUCCCAUGUCUCGUAGAAAGACUCCCCUGGCUGCUCAUUAAAUGCAUAAAUAAGAUUUCUAAGACG
Molecule: non-coding RNA, 107 nt
Organism: Helianthus annuus (common sunflower)
Lineage: Eukaryota; Viridiplantae; Streptophyta; Magnoliopsida; Asterales; Asteraceae
Source: Rfam